Molecule: unclassified non-coding RNA, 326 nt
Filed under: Hevea brasiliensis (rubber tree)
Lineage: Eukaryota; Viridiplantae; Streptophyta; Magnoliopsida; Malpighiales; Euphorbiaceae
Source: RNAcentral
GAAAUAAAAUAAGUGAAUUAUAAAUUAUUUAUUUCUUUUCCUCCCAUGUUCUCCUGUUUAUUAUUUUUUUACCCAUUCCUUUUCCUACCUAAAAUUGAUCUAGAGGGUAGUUAAAGAGAAGGUGGUACAACAAUGAGAUAUAGCAUAUUGGACAUAAAAUGGAAGGAUUGUAGUUGUAGACUCUAGUUAUAUUGGGCAUUUUAUUCCUUUAGAAGAGAGAUUCUUUCCUGGAAUAUAAAUAUAGGACGAUGUUUUGGUUUGUUUUGAUCUAAUCUUGGGAUUAUUCUCAUUUGCAACUUUACAGGAUGGUGUUUUGACGCUACCUU